Molecule: unclassified non-coding RNA, 1177 nt
Filed under: Hevea brasiliensis (rubber tree)
Lineage: Eukaryota; Viridiplantae; Streptophyta; Magnoliopsida; Malpighiales; Euphorbiaceae
Source: RNAcentral
GUAUAUCUUCAGUAGUUUUUUCCUACACACAAACUUUCAAUUAAACACCAGAGAAAUCAUUGUCCACAGAUAAGCACAUGCACAUUUGCGCGCACACACACACACAGAAAUUCAAAGCAAAAUAGAGAACAUAUUUUCCAUGAUUAUUGUUAUGGAUAUUAUCUUGAUAGAGAAUAUUAUCUUCAUAAGAGUCUUGUAUGGUAAGGUUAUCUCAUAAGGAUUCCUAUUAAUAUAGGUUUCCUAAUUAGUGUAGAAUUCCUAAUAUGUAGAAAUCCUAAUUAGUGUAGGACAAUUUUGUAUAUAUAUAUACCUAUGUAUAUACUCAAUUAAAUCAAGGAAAUAGAUACAUUCAAUUACAUGGUAUCAGAGCCUAAUUUAUUUUUAGGUUUUCUGCAUUUUUCUCUCCCUUUCCUAUUUGAGAAGUUAUUGCCACACUAAGUCACCAACGUAGGGUGACUGUUUUAUCUCAUCGCUGACUCAGGAAGGAGGACAAGUCGCCGGUAACCCUCCCCACAAAGUCCGGUGACUGGAUCUGAAGUGCGUGACCCGCACUCACCAAAACUGCCUUUCGCCCAUACCUCAUGCGCCGGCGCGUGGAAGCGUGUCCGCUGGCCUUUGCCUCUUCGGCCUCUUCUCCGAGCAUCGCCCUGACAUCCUCGGUUCAGCCAAGGAGAUUGCUGUUUGGUUUGGGGUAUUCUUCGAGGUGUUCUGGAGUUAUGAAUCUUUGCUUCUUCUGACAGUUAUCAAAUCCAGGUUCUAUUUCUGUAACUUCUGGGUAUUGAUUGAGUUGAUUUGCCAUGCUAAAGUUUGGGUAGUAAUUUUGAGUUCUAGAGAUUGUGGAUAUUUGAUUUUAUGAAUUUAUUGAAAUGGCGGACAAUAAAGCUAUUGUUUCUGGUGUGGUUCCAAUAAUGACAAAAAUCACUAAACAUAAACUUAAUGGUUCAAAUUAUCUGGAGUGGAGUAAGAUUGUUAGGGUCUAUUUUCGAAGUAUUGAUAAGGAUGAUCACCUGAUUAAUGACUCACCCACUGAUGAUACAAGGCAAGCUUGGCUUAGGGAAGAUGCUCGGUUGUUUUUGCAACUUCAAAAUUCGAUUCAUAGUGAGGUAAUCAGUUUAAUUAAUCACUGUAAAUUUGUUAAGGAAUUGAUGGAUUUCUUAGAUUUUCUGUAUUCUGGUAA